AGUCAACGCUGGCGGUAGGCCUAACACAUGCAAGUCGAACGGCAGCACAGUAAGAGCUUGCUCUUACGGGUGGCGAGUGGCGGACGGGUGAGGAAUACAUCGGAAUCUACUUUUUCGUGGGGGAUAACGUAGGGAAACUUACGCUAAUACCGCAUACGACCUACGGGUGAAAGCAGGGGAUCUUCGGACCUUGCGCGAUUGAAUGAGCCGAUGUCGGAUUAGCUAGUUGGCGGGGUAAAGGCCCACCAAGGCGACGAUCCGUAGCUGGUCUGAGAGGAUGAUCAGCCACACUGGAACUGAGACACGGUCCAGACUCCUACGGGAGGCAGCAGUGGGGAAUAUUGGGCAAUGGGCGCAAGCCUGAUCCAGCCAUACCGCGUGGGUGAAGAAGGCCUUCGGGUUGUAAAGCCCUUUUGUUGGGAAAGAAAAGCAGCAGGUUAAUACCCCGCUGUUCUGACGGUACCCAAAGAAUAAGCACCGGCUAACUUCGUG
This 492-nucleotide ribosomal RNA is filed under the name uncultured bacterium. Its description in RNAcentral is "partial 16S ribosomal RNA". It matches the Rfam family "Bacterial small subunit ribosomal RNA", at positions 32 to 507 of the family's 1533-position model. The record is from RNAcentral.